CACGUACGAAAUAUGGAAAGACCAAAAUGCCCUCUCACCUACCCAGGUGUACCGGUACACGAGCAGUUGUACCGGUACAAAUGGCAACCCGAGAGUAGCUGCGAGGAAACAGGCGAAGUGUACCGGUACACAUCCGAUGUUGUACCGUCACAGAAAGUGUACCGGUACACCUCUGAUGUUGUAUAGGUACAACAAGCAGGAAAUCUGCAAUUUGCAUAUUCCAAUGCUAACUUCUACUCUCGCGUCCCCACUGAGUCUGUUUUGUGUCUAUUUCGCGCCAACGCGAUUCGUACUUAUCCCGACACUCUCCAGAACUAUCGACAAGCCUCAACUGCUGUACUCCAGGGAUAUCACAAAUACACACCAU
This 367-nucleotide long non-coding RNA is filed under the name Ananas comosus (pineapple). RNAcentral's name for it is "long non-coding RNA (ACOM_LNC006695)". The record is from RNAcentral. Lineage: Eukaryota; Viridiplantae; Streptophyta; Magnoliopsida; Poales; Bromeliaceae.